Non-coding RNA from Pan troglodytes (chimpanzee), 469 nucleotides. The record is from the annotation of a RefSeq genome assembly. NCBI's taxonomy places the organism in Eukaryota, Metazoa, Chordata, Mammalia, Primates, Hominidae.
CACCACACAUUUCCUUAAAUUCAGGUCCAACUCAUAAGGGAAAUGCUUUCUGAGAGUCAUGGACCUCCUGUGCAAGAACAUGAAGCACCUGUGGUUCUUCCUCCUGCUGGUGGCAGCUCCCAGAUGGGUCCUGUCCCAGGUGCAGCUGCAGGAGUCGGGCCCAGGACUGGUGAAGCCUUCGGAGACCCUGUCCCUCACCUGUGCUGUCUCUGGUUACUCCAUCAGCAGUGGUUACUACUGGGGCUGGAUCCGGCAGCCCCCAGGGAAGGGGCUGGAGUGGAUUGGGAGUAUCUAUCAUAGUGGGAGCACCUACUACAACCCGUCCCUCAAGAGUCGAGUCACCAUAUCAGUAGACACGUCCAAGAACCAGUUCUCCCUGAAGCUGAGCUCUGUGACCGCCGCGGACACGGCCGUGUACUACUGUGCGAGAGACACAGUGAUGGGAGAUGAUUAAUUCAUAAAGAACUCC